UUAAGUCGACCGCCUGGGGAGUACGGCCGCAAGGUUAAAACUCAAAUGAAUUGACGGGGGCCCGCACAAGCGGUGGAGCAUGUGGUUUAAUUCGAUGCAACGCGAAGAACCUUACCUGGUCUUGACAUCCACGGAAGUUUUCAGAGAUGAGAAUGUGCCUUCGGGAACCGUGAGACAGGUGCUGCAUGGCUGUCGUCAGCUCGUGUUGUGAAAUGUUGGGUUAAGUCCCGCAACGAGCGCAACCCUUAUCCUUUGUUGCCAGCGGUCCGGCCGGGAACUCAAAGGAGACUGCCAGUGAUAAACUGGAGGAAGGUGGGGAUGACGUCAAGUCAUCAUGGCCCUUACGACCAGGGCUACACACGUGCUACAAUGGCGCAUACAAAGAGAAGCGACCUCGCGAGAGCAAGCGGACCUCAUAAAGUGCGUCGUAGUCCGGAUUGGAGUCUGCAACUCGACUCCAUGAAGUCGGAAUCGCUAGUAAUCGUGGAUCAGAAUGCCACGGUGAAUACGUUCCCGGGCCUUGUACACACCGCCCGUCACACCAUGGGAGUGGGUUGCAAAAGAAGUAGGUAGCUUAACCUUCGGGAGGGCGCUUACCACUUUGUGAUUCAUGACUGGGGUGAAGUCGUAACAAGGUAACCGUAGGGGAACCUGCGGUUGGAUCACCUCCUU
Molecule: ribosomal RNA, 672 nt
Filed under: Escherichia coli
Lineage: Bacteria; Pseudomonadati; Pseudomonadota; Gammaproteobacteria; Enterobacterales; Enterobacteriaceae
Also listed under: 1 other name
Description: bacterial SSU rRNA
Rfam family: Bacterial small subunit ribosomal RNA
Source: RNAcentral